RNAcentral lists this ribosomal RNA (259 nucleotides) under uncultured bacterium. Its description in RNAcentral is "partial 16S ribosomal RNA". It matches the Rfam family "Bacterial small subunit ribosomal RNA", at positions 96 to 354 of the family's 1533-position model. The record is from RNAcentral.
UGGCGGACGGGUGAGUAACGCGUGGAAAACCUGCCGUAUACUGGGGGAUAACACUUAGAAAUAGGUGCUAAUACCGCAUAAGCGCACAGCUUCGCAUGAAGCGGUGUGAAAAACUCUGGUGGUAUACGAUGGUUCCGCGUCUGAUUAGCUAGUUGGUGGGGUAAUGGCCUACCCAAGGCAACGAUCAGUAGCCGGCCUGAGAGGGUGAACGGCCACAUUGGGACUGAGACACGGCCCAAACUCCUACGGGAGGCAGCAG